This 305-nucleotide unclassified non-coding RNA is filed under the name Hevea brasiliensis (rubber tree). The record is from RNAcentral. Lineage: Eukaryota; Viridiplantae; Streptophyta; Magnoliopsida; Malpighiales; Euphorbiaceae.
AAAUGCGGUAGUGUUCAAUAAGAGGAAGUGGCGUCGUCGCUUUGUUACAUCGUUGGUGAGAAGCGAAAUCGAACGGUUUUCGGGGGCUUUCAAUGUAGAACCCCGAUCAUCCUUUUCCCCAUCUGUUUUGUUCUUCUCAGUUAAUAGUGUCCAGUGGAAUUUCUUCUUGUAUAUGAUGCUUUGUUCUGCAUUUACGACUCACAUACAAACGUGGCUACGUGAUUAUGACAGGAUUCAAUCCUUCGCAGUUAUUCUCAUCUAUGUUCAGAUCGGCUGUGCACUGAUUGGAUCUCUUGGGGCAUUAU